AAAGGAAUUGACGGGGGCCCGCACAAGCGGUGGAGCAUGUGGUUUAAUUCGAUGCUACGCGAAAAACCUUACCUGGACUUGACAUCCUGUGCUACUCUGUGAAAGCAGAGGUUCCUUUCGGGGACGCAGAGACAGGUGCUGCAUGGCUGUCGUCAGCUCGUGUUGUGAGAUGUUGGGUUAAGUCCCGCAACGAGCGCAACCCUCGCCGUUAGUUACCAUCAUUAAGUUGGGCACUCUAACGGAACCGCUUGGCUAUAAGCCAGAGGAAGGUGGGGAUGACGUCAAGUCCUCAUGGCCCUUAUGUCCAGGGCUACACACGUGCUACAAUGGGGUGGACAAAGCGCUGCUACUUUGCAAAAAGAUGCGAAUCGCAAAAACCACUCCUCAGUUCGGAUUGGAGUCUGCAACUCGACUCCAUGAAGCUGGAAUCGCUAGUAAUCGCGGAUCAGCAUGCCGCGGUGAAUACGUUCCCGGGCCUUGUACACACCGCCCGU
This 494-nucleotide ribosomal RNA is filed under the name uncultured bacterium. RNAcentral describes it as "bacterial SSU rRNA". It matches the Rfam family "Bacterial small subunit ribosomal RNA", at positions 903 to 1397 of the family's 1533-position model. The record is from RNAcentral.